AACAAAUUAUUGAUUGUUAGAACAAAAAAAAAAAAAAAAAAAAUAUAUAUAUAUAUAAGUUUAUUUUCUUUCUUAUUUAUAUAUGUUAGCACGCAAACUAUAUGCAAAACAUAUUAAACUUUUAUUUAUAGAGUGUUACCAAAUUAACGUUCGGGAGAGGAAAUAGAUAAAGUCAAACUAAACAUAGAAGCUUUCUACCAUUUUGUAAACAAUCACGUAAAUUUACGUGUGCAAAUUUCACGUAAAUUAUUAAUUAAAUUGGCAAAUGAUCGGGCGCGAUAUGAUAGAAUAAGCGUUGUAGAUUAGAACCUGAGCCACGCCACUCGCAAAGUUAUUCCAACUUUCGCUGAUUGCGAAUUGGCGAACGCGAGUGAGAGUUCAGUGAAUAUUAGAGCACAAUCAGUGAAUAUUAGAACGCAGUCCAGUAAACGAUUGUACACCUUUUCAUUUCGAGUGUGGGCGAAAUAUGGAUCUUGACAAUAUUAAAAAACAUUUUAUAUACCUGGAAAAAACUCAGAAUCUUUAACGAACUCCAAAAAAUCGGAUAAUUACAAAUCGCCAAAGCUGGUGGCCUGUUGGAAGGAUUGUUGCAAAUCAUCAUCUUGAUGAGCAGUAGCGCUAAUUCUCUGUCAUUUGCAGACAUGGUCUGAAGUGUUAUCAAAUUGCUUUCGCCACCUGCAGCAGGAAUAGAAUAAGUUACUUGAUUAGAUGAUGUUGGCUUGCCUUCGUAGAGGAUCACCAAAAGGAUGUUUACCAUCGGAGAGAACAUAAUAAAAAACACAACCGAGCGAGAAGAUGUCAACCGCACAUGUCGCACUUUCUUCAUUAUCUCCAAGUAUUUCCGGUGCUAUCCAGCCGUCCGUUCCAGUAACGCCAGAUCUUCGCGAAAAUGAUACGCGACCCAGUUGAAGUUUUUUGCAUAAACCGAAAUCCGAUAUCAUCGCACGUACUUCACCUCGUGGUCCAGGAACGGAAAGAAGCACAUUGUACAGUUAUGUGUGAAGGAAACAAAAAUAUAACUCUCUGAAAAGACUAUGAAAAUGAUAUCAGUGCACAUGUGAGAAAGCACAUGUAAAAAGGUGUCUUUUACUUUACAACAUAUCCAAAGCUUUAAAAAAUUAGUUAAUAAUACUUACAAUUUCUUUCUUCAUCAGACUUACCGAUAUCCAAAGAAUGCAAGUGCGCCAACCCGAAUGUUGCCUGAUAUAAGAUAUUCUUUACAGAUAUCUUCUCCCUAUUGUAUUUGCCUGCUACGUAAUCUUGUAACGUAGCUUCAGCAAGCUCCAAAGCGAUGUAUCUGAACAUACGAUCCUGUUCAGUACAAAAGUACCUAACUACAUUUGCGUGUGCAUCUGAUUCCCUCAGCAAGGCCACCUCUCGGUCAGCAAACAUAAAACAAUCCGGCAGCAGACGUUUCACAGCCACAGCACGACCAUCAAAUUCACCUCUAAAGAAAGAAGCAGAGUGAAAUAAAGACUUUUCUGUAUAAAAAAUAAUACAUCUGUAUGUUCUUCUGUUACAUCUGUAAAUAUUGUAUUAUUAUACAAAUUAAAAAUAUAAAUUACUUGUACACAAA
This is a long non-coding RNA of Odontomachus brunneus, 1576 nucleotides long. RefSeq lists it as uncharacterized. The record is from RefSeq and is a predicted model, not a curated record. Lineage: Eukaryota; Metazoa; Arthropoda; Insecta; Hymenoptera; Formicidae. The transcript has 4 exons.